This 23-nucleotide microRNA is filed under the name Bos taurus (domestic cattle). RNAcentral describes it as "bta-miR-2285cc". Lineage: Eukaryota; Metazoa; Chordata; Mammalia; Artiodactyla; Bovidae. The record is from miRBase by way of RNAcentral.
AAAAACCUGAAUGAACCUUUUGA